Molecule: long non-coding RNA, 451 nt
Organism: Myotis davidii
Lineage: Eukaryota; Metazoa; Chordata; Mammalia; Chiroptera; Vespertilionidae
Exons: 4
Source: RefSeq, a predicted model, not a curated record
GGGGACCCCGUGGCCCUGACGGUGGCCGUGCCCCGCAGGCCUGCCUAACGCCCCCGCCUCCCUCAGCUACAGCAUCGUCAUCGAGGGCGAGAGAGGCAACCGGCAGAGGAUCUACUCGCUGGAGCAGCUGCUGCAGGAGGCGGUUCUCGAUGUCCGGCCGCAGUCCAGCCGGUUCCUCCCGCCCGGCACGAGGGUCUGCGCCUACUGGAGCCAGAAGUCCCGCUGCUUGUACCCGGGCAACGUGGUCCGAGGCAACUCCAGCGCAGAGGAGGAGGACCUGGACUCCGUGGUGGUGGAAUUUGAUGACGGGGACACGGGCCACAUCGCCGUCUCCAACAUCAGGCUGCUGCCUCCGGACUUCAGGAUCCAGUGCACGGAGCCCUCACCGGCCCUGCUGGUGUCCAGCGGCUGUCGCCGGACCAAGAAAGCAUCCUGUGAGGCCCCCCCGCCC